This 1881-nucleotide long non-coding RNA is filed under the name Paramuricea clavata. Lineage: Eukaryota; Metazoa; Cnidaria; Anthozoa; Malacalcyonacea; Plexauridae. The record is from RNAcentral.
CCCACUGAGCUAUAAUAUUACUGGAGGAGCUGCUCCUAUCUUUCUUCAGUCAAGCAAGUGAAGCCAAAAACAUGGCGGAUCUUACGCCAUUGCCAUGACUACUGGUUCUUAUUUCUCAUGGUAAUUACCACUGACCAACCGCGAUCCUACGCUUUAAACAAUAUCUUUCACCCCCCUGUUUUUUUUUCACAAAUAUGAAAUAUUUUGGUUUAGUUUGUCUUUGAACUGAAAAUCUUGAUAUUUUUCAUCAAUUUUGUCUGUUUUACAAAGUCAAGGAAGACGGUGCAUUUUUGCUGUGCCUGUUAUGGCUCUAAAAGGAGAAUAUUACCGGUAAGAUUCACGAUUUUUUUACUUUCUCGCUUGGCAACGUUGCCAUAUAUUUUUUUAACACUCGUGGAUAUUAAUGAAAUGGAUAUCUCAAAACCUGAUGCUAAUAUUAAAACUGCGAGUAUUACUAGUUACAGCAGUUUUUUCAUUUCUACAUUGACAUUGUAGUUUUAAGCAAGUUUUCCUGGACAAACUCUUUCCUGUCUUGUUUUAUUAAACUCAUUUCUUGGGUUUCAUGGUGCUUCGGUUUGUGUUUUGUUUUUAAAAUUGUUUAUUGAUUUAGGUUUUUUAUUUUUAAGUGCUAGUUUUGCCAGGUUUUUGAAAUAGCAGCUAUCUACUGUGUAGCUUUGUAUUUUAUACAGGACAUGUAGGGUGUGACUGCAGAGCCAACCUUUCCAGCACUCUCCAAAAGUUCAGCAUCAAGCAGUUUAUAUUAUUUAACCCAUUGAGGGCCAGAACGUUUAACUAUAGACACAUGAGCAGAUAGCCUGAUUAAUCCAUUGAGGGCCAGCAUUCUCCCCUUAAUGACAGAGUGAAAUAAUACUCUCCCCUGGCGUUUGACAGAGUGAAAUAAUAAAGUACUAGGGUGCAUCAGGACACAAUGCGACUUACUGUGUUAAACAUGAGUUUUAUGAUUUGUAGCACUACCCACAUUGUAGCACUACCCACUAACCCUUUAAGUGGCAAUGUGCCCAGAUGCACCCUACAUUAUUAUUUUACUCUGUCUAACGCUGGUCAAUUUUACUCGUCACGGGGAAGGUGCUGCCACUCAACAUAUUUAGGUUAAUAUCGAUCUUCGAUUUAGCUGGAAUGACGCAAUACAUGCCAUUUGCUACUGUAAAAUUGUAAAUAUGCCGGAAUUUUUUUUAUCUAGGCACUGUACUGAAAUGUGAAAAAGAAAGCCACCCAAGGUCAAUGUUCAAAUAGCAAGAGUGGUGUUGUAGACAUCAGACAUGUAGUGGUGCACCAUAUGUUAAAAUUAAAUAUUGUCCAACUUACAAAAGUAAGGGCCCUGGCCAGAAUUCCUGCCCUGAACUGGAAAGAUAACUUCAUUUUAUCAUUGCUAUCAGACUGUGAUAAACAGAGAAUCAUGUUAUUGUCAGUGGUGUUUUUAAAUACAAUAUGACUGCCUGCAGUUAUAAUUAUAACUUGUAUGGUUGUAUAAUUUAUAUAGUUUGUAAAACUUUUUCUUGCCGAUUUAUAAUAUUUAUUCUUUUGGGAAGGUAUAAACAAAAUAGUGAAAACCCCUGGUGGUAAUGUAGGGUAAAGGAGGGAGGGUAUCUAUUUAUCUGUGAAUUAAUGAUAAUUUAUUUCAAGCACACAGGGCUGGAUUGACUGGGGGUCUAACAUCCCCAGGUCCAAUCUUUUGAACUGUGUCCCCCAAUUUUUGGAGGGCCACUGGUUUGUCAGUUUUUACUGUUACCCUCCAUAAAUAAUAAUAAAAUGCAGAAAUGCUGGAAUUGCCAAACAUGUGAAUUUUUUGGGAAUGUUGUGCAAAAUUGUGGCCAAUUCUAUAAAGGUUACGCUGAAAAAAAUUUUAAUUAACCUUUUUUG